AGAGUUUGAUCCUGGCUCAGGGUGAACGCUGGGAACGUGGAUACCGGCAUGCAAGUCAAGGGGCCCGCAAGGGCACCGGCGAACGGCUUAGUAACACGUAGGUACAUACCGCAAAGUGGGGCACAGCUCGUCGAAAGACGGGGUAAUUUCCCAUAGUCCCGUAAGGGUAAAGCAGCAAUGCGCUUUGCGAAUGGCCUGCGGCCUAUCAGCUUGUUGGCGGGGUAAAAGCCCACCAAGGCGAUGACGGGUAGGGGGUGUGAGAGCACGGCCCCCAAGAGUUGGACUGCGACACGGCCAACACUCCUACGGGAGGCUGCAGUCGAGAAUCUUCCGCAAUGAACGAAAGUCUGACGGAGCGACGUUCCGUGAAGGAUGAAGCCCUUCGGGGUGUAAACUUCUUUUGUAUGGGAAAAAGUUAUUGAUUGUACCCAUAGAAUAAAGGGCC
Molecule: ribosomal RNA, 445 nt
Filed under: uncultured soil bacterium
Lineage: Bacteria
Description: bacterial SSU rRNA
Rfam family: Bacterial small subunit ribosomal RNA
Source: RNAcentral